GACGAACCGUGCGAACGUUGUUCGGAAUCACUGGGCUUAAAGCGUGUGUAGGCGGGCGAUCAAGUACCUUGUGAAAUCCCACGGCUCAACCGUGGAACCGCUGGGUAUACUGGUUGUCUUGAGCCGGCUAGGGGCGAGCGGAACAGACGGUGGAGCGGUGAAAUGCGUAGAUAUCGUCUGGAACGCCGAAGGUGAAAACAGCUCGCUGGGGCCGCGCUGACGCUGAUGCACGAAAGCUAGGGGAGCAAACAGG
This 253-nucleotide ribosomal RNA is filed under the name uncultured bacterium. RNAcentral describes it as "partial 16S ribosomal RNA". It matches the Rfam family "Bacterial small subunit ribosomal RNA", at positions 524 to 776 of the family's 1533-position model. The record is from RNAcentral.